RNAcentral lists this ribosomal RNA (460 nucleotides) under uncultured bacterium. Its description in RNAcentral is "partial 16S ribosomal RNA". It matches the Rfam family "Bacterial small subunit ribosomal RNA", at positions 338 to 795 of the family's 1533-position model. The record is from RNAcentral.
CCUACGGGUGGCAGCAGUGAGGAAUAUUGGUCAAUGGACGCAAGUCUGAACCAGCCAUGCCGCGUGCAGGAAGACGGCUCCAUGAGUUGUAAACUGCUUUUGUACGAGGGUAAACGCAGAAACGUGUAUCUGUCUGAAAUUAUCGUACGAAUACGGAUCGGCUAACUCCGUGCCAGAAGCCGCGGUAAGACGGAGGAGUCAAGCGUUAUCCGGAUUUCUUGGGUUUAAAGGGUGCGUAGGCGGUCGGAUAAGUUAGAGGUGAAAUCCCGAGGCUCAACUUCGGAAUGGCCUCUGAUACUGUUCGGCUAGAGAGUAGUUGCGGUAGGCGGAAUGUAUGGUGUAGCGGUGAAAUGCUUAGAGAUCAUACAGAACACCGAUUGCGAAGGCAGCUUACCAAGCUACUUCUGACGUUGAGGCACGAAAGCGUGGGGAGCAAACAGGAUUAGAUACCCGGGUAGUC